CCUAUGAUACAGGAGAAAGGACCACAGUUGUCAUCACACUGGUUGGCCUCUUGGAUAUGCUAUUUCACAUAAAGCUGAGUGGUUCCCAGUUCUACCUAAUGAUUCUUACUCAAGUUGGAAGCCUCUUUCAAGGAAGUAUUUUGCUUCUGAAAUGCCUAUGCAGCUAUCAAUUACCAAGGUCAAUUUGGGAAAGAGAAACUGAGAUUGAUUUUGCAAGAAGGUAUUGAUAUUUAUCAUUUUUUUUCUCUCUUCCGUUUUUCCUUGUGAUGAGAGAGAUGGUUUUCCACAUGGUUCCUGCAUAAACUUUUCAUUGUAUAUCACAAAGCUCUAGGGCAUAUUAAAAUUUUAAACAGACUGAA
Molecule: long non-coding RNA, 359 nt
Organism: Homo sapiens (human)
Lineage: Eukaryota; Metazoa; Chordata; Mammalia; Primates; Hominidae
Exons: 2
Source: RefSeq, a predicted model, not a curated record